Molecule: ribosomal RNA, 301 nt
Filed under: uncultured bacterium
Lineage: Bacteria
Description: partial 16S ribosomal RNA
Rfam family: Bacterial small subunit ribosomal RNA
Source: RNAcentral
CAGUAGCCGCGGUAAUACGGAGGGUGCGAGCGUUAAUCGGAAUUACUGGGCGUAAAGCGUGCGCAGGCGGUUUGUUAAGACAGAUGUGAAAUCCCCGGGCUUAACCUGGGAACUGCAUUUGUGACUGGCAAGCUAGAGUCUGGCAGAGGGGGGUGGAAUUCCGCGUGUAGCAGUGAAAUGCGUAGAUACGCGGAGGAACACCGAUGGCGAAGGCAGCCCCCUGGGCCAACACUGACGCUCACGCACGAAAGCGUGGGGAGCAAACAGGAUUAGAUACCCCGGUAGUCCCUGUCUCUUAUAC